GGACACAGCUAUGAACACAAGGCAACAGGCAGCAAAAGAGGGAGAGGGAUGCCACCUGCUAUGUGACGUCAGAAGUGAACUAUCAAUAUUGGCUUCUGUGCUUUGUAAAUCUCUGGCUAAUAAGGCUGCACUGUCAAAGGUCACGUUAUCUGCAGUUCUGUUGUCCGCGAUUGUAGCCAAGAACUGAAUUCCCGUCAAUAAUGAGGUCCAACUGUAUGGUCCCGCUUUCCACAGAAACCAUUGGUAAAUCAGCCGAGGACCUGUUUAAAAUGUGCCAGUUCUACAGACAACCCAAAGAAAAAGCUAUAUCUGUGAACCACUGAAGCAGGAGGGCAAGGAAAGAGAGAGUCACCACACACCUCACCAGCCCUUCAUCUCCGGUCAAGAAUAGGUGACUUACUUGACAUCCUUCUCCAGAGCCAUUAAUGCCACUUAAGAAGCAUCAGGCUGGGCCAUUGGGGCUAUUGUCUAGCAAUCUACCUAACAAAAGAGUUGGCCAGCUAGCCAUGUCUUCAUCCAUCACAACAUGCUAUUUACAUGGCCUCCAUUUAGGUAUACCUGUUUAAGGUCUAAUUCAUAGGAGCUUACUGUUUUAUUCUGUUUUAUUCUGUUUACUAUGUAUAAUAUUUUGUUUUAAUGCUUUUUUAUGUCUUUUGUAUGGCCUAUGGCUGUAAUAAAAUUGAUUGAUCAUUUAGGUA
This is a long non-coding RNA of Hemicordylus capensis (graceful crag lizard), 698 nucleotides long. RefSeq lists it as uncharacterized. The record is from RefSeq and is a predicted model, not a curated record. Lineage: Eukaryota; Metazoa; Chordata; Lepidosauria; Squamata; Cordylidae. The transcript has 4 exons.